GCGCUCACUUCAGCAGCACACGUGCUAAAAUUGGAACGAUACAGAGAUCAGCAAGGCCCCUGCACACGGAUGACACGCAAAUGUGUGAAGUGGUCCAUGUUUUU
Aethalodelphis obliquidens (Pacific white-sided dolphin) is the source of this 104-nucleotide small nuclear RNA. Lineage: Eukaryota; Metazoa; Chordata; Mammalia; Artiodactyla; Delphinidae. The record is from RefSeq and is a predicted model, not a curated record.